RNAcentral lists this long non-coding RNA (1245 nucleotides) under Homo sapiens (human). Its description in RNAcentral is "HSALNT0082642". Lineage: Eukaryota; Metazoa; Chordata; Mammalia; Primates; Hominidae. The record is from RNAcentral.
GGUGGUGUCCUGCUGUCUUCUGAGCAAUAGAGACUCCACAUGGCUGCCUGAUGGCCAUUUCCAAAGGCAAUCGUGCUGCUCUCCUGCAUAAAGUCUCUCAGACGAGUCAUCACAGGAGUUGUUGACAUCUGGAAGGCCUGCCUAUAAAUCCUGGAUCCUUCCGUGCUAAGCCAAGAUUCAGAUGAGAACACUGAUUUUGGAAGCUUGGAAUUAGUUUUUUUCACAGCUAGCAGGUAACUCAAUUGGAGUCAACAUCAGCCUCCCAUCCACAGGAUGAUCGUGACAGUACCCAUCUCCCCAGCUGUGAGAUUAAACAAGUGAACACAUGCCAAGCACUCAGAAUGAUGCCUGGCAGAUUUAGCACUUUAUAAAUGACGAUUAUAAGUUCCAAGAGAGAAAAUUUAACAAUGUAUUGGAAUGUCUUAAAACAGUAUUUCCUAGAGACCUGAUAAUGGACCACCCACAGCAGAAUAAUCUGGGUGCUUAUUAAAAAGAAAAAUUUCUGGACCCUGUCCUAAACAUCUUAAUUAAAAACUCAAUAAAUGGAGCCUAGAAAUCUCCAUUUUCAAUAACCACCUUACUGGAUUUUUGAGCACACCAAGUUUUGAGAGAUGUUUUACAACCUACUCAGGUUUAUUUGCAUAAUUUAUAAUAGGACUGUCCAAGGUAAGGUGUAAAUAAUUCAAAUGGUAAGGAUUGUAGAAACGAAGAAAAUGAAAAUUUAAGUUUGUUUCGUAGUCCAUUAUUUGGAUUUUUUAUGACAUUGUUAAAUCAGACACUGAGGCAAUGAGAAAUAUGGCUAAGAUUCCUACUUCUUACUUUAUUAUGGUUAGCAGUUUCAUAUUUAAAUACAUGCGGUAACGGUGGAGCAUGGAGAAAACAUUACUGUAGCCACAGCUUUCCCACAGGCACCAGUAGGCAAGAACUCCCAGACUCCUGAUCACUGUUUCUCCUAACCUGUCACUGGGAAAACUUGGCUAAUAGGAAAGGACCAGGAUAUAGUGUAGCAACUGGCUUGUAAAAAGCAGUAAGGGUGCAAGCAACAAGAUAGAAUUAAGGGGAGGAACAAGCAUAUGCUCAGUAGCCAUCAGCGUCUUACCUAAUCUUAGGUGCAAGGGUACACAAGUAAUAGGUCAUACAUGUCUCCUGCCUCAGCCACUCCCUUCUCUUCACGGUUUCAUCUGUUUCUCUACCUUACAUGCACCACAGCCAAUUGAAAAUAUUAUUUAAUAAAAAAGACUGCAU